This 613-nucleotide long non-coding RNA is filed under the name Homo sapiens (human). Its description in RNAcentral is "long non-coding RNA NONHSAT096023.2". Lineage: Eukaryota; Metazoa; Chordata; Mammalia; Primates; Hominidae. The record is from RNAcentral.
AUAAGAACUAAAAAUAAAUUUUUAUGUCUUUAAAAAUGAGAGGUUUUUUUUUUUUUUUUGGCUUUUGGAAGGUGAGUAUCAAAAACCUGUACUUAAUGUUACCUUGGAAUUAUUUCUAGAUGUUUCUUAUAUCCUUUUGUCCCAAGUAAAAUUAUUACCUUCUCAGUGCGUAGUUUUUCUUAUUUAUUACUUCUAGUACCAAGUGUAGAGCUAAGCGUAGAGGAGACGCUUCACAGGUGCGCAUUGUCGUGAUUGCAGACGCCUGCCUGUACUUGUGGGGUUUUUCUCAGUUUUAGUACGUGAUGACUUUUCUUUCUAUAACAGGUAUUUGAAAUGGACAUCGCUAAACAGUUACAAGCUUAUGAAGUUGAGUACCACGUCCUUCAAGAAGAACUUAUCGAUUCCUCUCCUCUCAGUGACAACCAAAGAAUGGAUAAAUUAGAGAAAACCAACAGCAGCUUACGCAAACAGAACCUUGACCUCCUUGAACAGUUGCAGGUGGCAAAUGGUAGGAUCCAAAGCCUUGAGGCCACCAUUGAGAAGCUCCUGAGCAGUGAGAGCAAGCUGAAGCAGGCCAUGCUUACCUUAGAACUGGAGCGGUCGGCCCUGCUGC